Scleropages formosus (Asian bonytongue) is the source of this 1644-nucleotide long non-coding RNA. The record is from Ensembl. NCBI's taxonomy places the organism in Eukaryota, Metazoa, Chordata, Actinopteri, Osteoglossiformes, Osteoglossidae.
CUGGAGUAUGUCGGGAUGGGAGCUCUGAUCAUAAUCAUAGUAGACCAUGUCCAUGGCCUGUCUUCAUGAGCUGUGCGUGGCUGCAAAUGAGUUGACGAGUGCGCUGUAGGUGUAUCGCUCGCUGUGUGACGGUGCACAGCUCUGUGAGCACAAUAUGUAACGGAGCAUAAAACAAGAAAAAAAACUGAUGACAUAAAGGAGGUUUUGUAUUUGUUACCCACGCAUGACCCUGCCACUCUCUCUGGGGUCACAGCUGCUCCGUAGGACGAAACGAGCACCAGGCGCGGCCACUUCAAAAGACCGAGUGGACAGUAAAAGUUUUAACUAAUUAUUUGUUUAUUUUAUUUAAAAAAAGAGGUUGUUGUUGUCAGUAGAAAGUUUAACUUUGGGAUGUGUAUCACUGUUUCUUCACAAACUUAAGCUCAGUUGCUUAAGGCUUUGCGCUAAAGUUUGCCUUAACGUUGUGACCUUUGAGUUCCAGAGUUGUUAGAACCAAAGCUGUUGGGUUACUACAGACAAUAUAAUUUCAGCUAUAAUCAUGUUGUUGUUAUUAUUAUUAUUAUUAUUAUAUAGCCUGGGAGGCGACUGCAGCGCUGAGGUAAUUUGAGAGGGCGGCGCGCGCUGCAGGUGGACGGAAGUGCAAAGGAGGCCCAUCUCGAGGACGUGCGUUCGGGCGGGAACGAGCGACUCUGUGGAAAGAAGAAGAGCGCUCGAUACCUCCGCGUGCCCCAGAUACACGGGAACGUCGCUCCGUCUCGCGCUCGCGCUCGUGCUCGCGCUGCGCUUCCCCAACGCGAUUUGUCGAAACUGACAUUCUUUCCCCGACCCUUAUUAAUACUCUGUUUAAGCUGCCAAAAUCCAAUAAGACGUUUUCUAAUUACCGCUACAUUAGGCUUCCAUGAAUAGUUUAUCAGGGUCCCGCUGCGCGCGCUAAUGGCGGGAACGCGUCGCGCGCUCACACCUCAAUUUCAAAGCGGCGCGACGCGUUCGGAGCACGAGCGCAGAUUCUGUCUGUCCGUCCGCGCGCCGGGAGUCGUUGAGGUUGUAGGCUAUCAGCUGAUCUUACGGAGCCGUUUGUCCGACUCCCCACGCAACUAUCCAGGGUGCCCCGCUGACCGUAGGCAUUACCCAGGGCAGUGAAGGGUAGAGAACCCCAGGCAGUGUCAUCCACCCGAAGGACAGCGGGGCAGCUACUUUUCCCUGGGCCUCUUCCCCUGAAAUGGCUGGCCUGACAUAAAAUUCAAACCCAUCCUCCCUCGCAGGGAGCACAGGAUGCAACACCGAGGAAGCUUUUUACAAAAGCUACCUUUAAUGCAAGUUCUAACGGCGUAUUAGAACAGAUUUCUCAGCUCCUCUUUUCCCCCGGCGCCCAUACAAGUUAGUGAUCACCUGCUAGGUCCGUAACCACGGUCCAUGUCCUCCCUGCCUUGUUAUCCUGGCUCCAAAGGGCUGGGUGUUGUCAGUCCUGGAGAUGCGUAUUCCCUAAAAGGCCCUAAGUAUCUCCCCGACUAGAUGCCAUCAUUGCUGCCUCUCUGGCAGCUAUAUUCGGCACUGCUAAUUGGGUGCUCUGGUCUCUUUGUUGGAGAAAAAAGUGACACGUUUGAAGUUAAUAAAAAUCUCCAGUGCAUUGACUUUUUUUUUAAG